UACAGAGGUCUCAAGCGUUGUUCGGAUUCAUUGGGCGUAAAGGGUGCGUAGGUGGCGCCGUAAGUCGGGUGUGAAAUUUCGGAGCUUAACUCCGAAACUGCAUUCGAUACUGCGGUGCUUGAGGACUGGAGAGGAGACUGGAAUUCAUGGUGUAGCAGUGAAAUGCGCAGAUAUCAGGAGGAACACCGGUGGCGAAGGCGGUGGUCUGGGCCGGCACUGACGCUGAGAAGCGAAAGCGUGGGGAGCGAACAGG
This 253-nucleotide ribosomal RNA is filed under the name uncultured bacterium. RNAcentral describes it as "partial 16S ribosomal RNA". It matches the Rfam family "Bacterial small subunit ribosomal RNA", at positions 524 to 776 of the family's 1533-position model. The record is from RNAcentral.